UUUUACCCCUUUGGUCUUGUACAAACACUUGAGAAAUAUCUCAGGGUGAUAGAAUGAUAAAAUGAUCGCUGGAGCUCAAUCUUAGAAGGGGAACAAUAUAUCUCAUCAUCGCUGCAACUACACCAGAGAAAUCUUUUCUUUUUCUUUGUAAACCCUUUUCUCUCUACUAUCUUCAACUAACCCUAAUCCCCAAAACCCUUAAAUUCAAUUUUGAACAAUCCUAAAUUCAUCUCUCUCGUUUCACUUUACGAUUUGCAGUAGCAAGAAACGGACUCGAAGUUGGGUGGAGCCAAGUUCGGAUUGAUGAGGUAUUACAAUCACUGGGCAAACUAGUGAGGCUGUAUUCAGAAGUGCAUCUAUUGAGGUCGUUGAAGCACAAUAACAUUGUAAGGUUCUACAAUUCCUGGAUUGAUGACAAACACAAGAAUGUUAACAAGAUAGUUAUUCACCUCAGGGAGCCUCAAACAGUGUGUUCAUUAUCCUUUGUAUAUGUGUUUAAUUUGUUUUUCUGUUUUAUUGUGAUAUUAGUCCUUUUGUUAGUUGGUUUGAUGCAUGAUUUAGGUACUGUAAGAAACACAAGAAGGUCGACAUGAGAGUAUUUGUUAAAUAUCGGACUCAGGUGUGAUUUAUUUGAAGUAUUUGUUAAAUAUCGGACAAUAUCUUGUAUUUUAAUUUGAUUUUUUAGAGUGAUUUAAAGCCUUUCAGACUUGACGAAAAACUAUGAUAUCUUAGCAGUACAGGGUCAUCUGGUUCAGUAAACUAGUUUCUAUUUACCUUUUAAGAUGGAAGUUAAAUUAGUGGAAUAUUAUUACACUUGCACCUUUGAGAGUUAGAAUUACUUUUCCACUCUCCUAUAUUAAUCUACUUUUGAAAAGUGAACAUUGAAAUAAAGCUUUUUUAAUUGUGAAUUCUUAACUAAGCUAAUGAAUACAAUCAAGUAUUAUUUGCAAAUAAAAGUAACGGUAACAGCAACACAUACCUACUUCUUAUGUCUUUAUUUUGCUUCAAAUUAUUUAAAUAAACCAUUUCUUUGAACAACAUAAGUGUUUCAUUGUCGCAACAUGUGAUCGUGACUUGAAGAGGAGAAUCCGGAAGAUUCCUGGUGUGCCAAUAAUGUACAUCACUAAAAAGGUCAAGAGUGUAAUAGCUAUGGUUUGUAAUUUGUGGAGAUGAUAAGUUAAUAAAGCUGCUAUUCCACUACCUAUGGUGAAGUAUUUGCUUGGCCAAUAUUUGGUCUUCCUGUCUUCUACUGCUAAUGGGUCAAGUUUAAUGUGUCAAUUUGUUCAUUUUGCUCUUGCAAAGUUAUGAAGGAACUGGACGCUCGUUAUCACUAAAACUUGUGCAGCAACUACAAGACCAAAGCCGUAUAUCUGCUAAGAGCACAGAGGGCACCGAGUUUUGAUGCUUAUGGAAAUGACAACACCAAGUCUGGUUUUUGGGGUGUAUUGGCUCAUAAAGCCAAAUCAAUUCUGGAUGAUAAAAAUUCAGCUCCUCCUCCACAACAUGACACCAUGCCAUUGCCACAAACACUCAAAUCACACUCAUUUAAUACCUUUACUAGUCCGUUUUCAACUCAGCCAUUGUAUCAAUCUCCUGACUCUAAUAAAAAAAUGGACAAUCCUACAAUUAGAAAGGGAUUGGAUGCAAUCAAAUCUUCUCUCAAUCACUUAGGUGACACAUUUGAGAAGGCUUUUGAGG
Molecule: non-coding RNA, 1698 nt
Organism: Cicer arietinum (chickpea)
Lineage: Eukaryota; Viridiplantae; Streptophyta; Magnoliopsida; Fabales; Fabaceae
Source: RefSeq, a predicted model, not a curated record